UAAGGAAUAUUGGUCAAUGGACGCAAGUCUGAACCAGCCAUGCCGCGUGAAGGAUGAAGGUCCUCUGGAUUGUAAACUUCUUUUAUCUGGGACGAAAACGGGAUUUUUAUCUCAAUUGACGGUACCAGAGGAAUAAGCACCGGCUAACUCCGUGCCAGCAGCCGCGGUAAUACGGAGGGUGCGAGCGUUAUCCGGAUUUACUGGGUUUAAAGGGUGCGUAGGUGGGCUUAUAAGUCAGUGGUGAAAUCUCCGAGCUUAACUUGGAAACUGCCGUUGAUACUAUAGGUCUUGAAUUAUCUGGAGGUGAGCGGAAUAUGGCAUGUAGCGGUGAAAUGCUUAGAUAUGACAUAGAACACCAAUUGCGAAGGCAGCUUACUACAUAUAAAUUGACGCUGAGGCACGAAAGCGUGGGGAUCAAACA
This 421-nucleotide ribosomal RNA is filed under the name uncultured bacterium. RNAcentral describes it as "bacterial SSU rRNA". It matches the Rfam family "Bacterial small subunit ribosomal RNA", at positions 355 to 774 of the family's 1533-position model. The record is from RNAcentral.